This 447-nucleotide ribosomal RNA is filed under the name uncultured bacterium. RNAcentral's name for it is "partial 16S ribosomal RNA". It matches the Rfam family "Bacterial small subunit ribosomal RNA", at positions 29 to 523 of the family's 1533-position model. The record is from RNAcentral.
AACGAACGCUGGCGGCAGGCUUAACACAUGCAAGUCGAGCGCCCCGCAAGGGUAGCGGCAGACGGGUGAGUAACGCGUGGGAACGUACCCUUUACUACGGAACAACUCCGGGAAACUGGAGCUAAUACCGUAUGUGCCCUUUGGGGGAAAGAUUUAUCGGUAAAGGAUCGGCCCGCGUUGUAUUAGCUAGUUGGUGGGGUAAAGGCCUACCAAGGCGACGAUCCAUAGCUGGUCUGAGAGGAUGAUCAGCCACAUUGGGACUGACACACGGCCCAAACGCCUACGGGAGGCAGCAGUGUGGAAGAUUGGACAAUGGGCGCAAGCCUGAUCCAGCCAUGCCGCGUGAAUGAUGAAGGCCUUAGGGUUGUAAAGUUCUUUCACCGGAGAAGAUAAUGACGGUAUCCGGAGAAGGAGCCCCGGCUAACUGCGUGCCAGCAGCCGCGGUAA